CCAAUCAGAAUCAGCAAAAGAUCUUUCUUCGUCUUGAGGUGAGGAUGAUGAACUUGCCUGACAACCUACAAGUACAAAGUUUUCUCAUCUUUUGUAGCUUACAUGAACCAAAAACAGACGGCAGUUAUCACAGUAGCCUAUGCACAAUUUUUCAACUAAUGAAAAACUCCUUUUUCCAAAUGAUUGAAAUUACCCCUAAUCCCCUGAGUUAUUGUUUAAAAUUAGUUAAGAAUAAUAACUUUAAUAGACUCCGCUGUUGAUCGUGAGGUAAUUUGAGCAUCACAAUUUUAAUAGACUGUUUCACACAAGAAAGAGGAGACUUACAAGUCAGUGACAAAGGAGUGCCAACCUUUUUGAGCUGAUGAAACUGACUAGUAACAAAUAACCUUCUUCUUGUAGAAUAAGAAAUUCUUGAUCCUAACAAAGGGAAGAGUUUCUCUGACAAGGGCUUUGAAGUGACAAAGCAAGCUUCCAUAUUGGUUUCAGAAUUCAAAAGGAUUCUGCUAUAAAGAGUGAAACAGUGUUAUAGUGGAUAUAGGAUUGAAGUACAAAGAGAAUUCAUUGUGUUUUAUAUGGAGAAUGUGGCUAAAUGUAGACCACAGCAAGUUUUAGAGCCAAUCCAGUACAAGUAGGAUGCUUUUUCACUGUUGGCAGAGUGACUUUCCCAAAAGUAUGGGCUAAUAGAUAUGGCUUUACACGUAAGAAGACAGGACAACAGUUAUAGGAUUACACGUGUACUUAUGCAGGAUAUUGUUUGGUUGGUAUGAGUUAGAAGUGGCUAAGGUUUAAUCUGCUGAAAUCUGGUGCACUUUUAUGAAUGAUGUGUUCUGGCUCUAGCCACAGAGGUCAGUAUGACUACCUCUUUCUUUUCCCACUUUCUUUCUUCUUCUUUCCCGGGUUGAGUCCUAGCUACCAUUUUGACAUAGAUUUAAUUGAAAUUUGAAAAAAAAAAAAUUAAAAUUGUGUUUGGACAUAUAUUUUAUUUGAAGAAAGUUGAAGUAUGGUGAGUGGAAGAAACAUUUUCACCCAAAAACUGUUUUGAAAACUUGAAACUUUUUGAAUUUUUUUUCUUCCCAAAACAUGAUCAUAUUUCUUAAACAAUAAUGUUUUCAAUUUUAUUUUAUUUUGAAAAAAUGAAGCGAAAAUCUAUGACUAAGUGGGAGCAUAGACUCUUGUGGUUAGGGUAGUUCAAAGAUAUCGAAAAUUCGCACUAGCUAGAAAUCAAAUCAAAUCAAGUUGAUAAUUAAUUUUCUUAAUUUGAUACUAUGUCCAUGGAUGGGGCGGCUUUUUAAAUUGUAUUCCGCCAUUGAAGAAAGCAGUAAAGCUGCUUUAACAGUCUCCCACUAAAAAGCAAUACCAAAUCUUAUUAUUUGGUUCAAGUGUCAAUACACAUUAAAGCUCAAAAGCUUCUCCAAUACAGUCACUACGACCUAAAAGAUCAAUUAGACAAGCAUACUGCUCUAAUUUAUAAAUAACCCCAUAAUCUCUCUCCAUAGAAUAAAAAUAAGCUAUCCUCCUCCACCAAACCAAUAUUACUCUACUACCAAAAGUUUGUGGUAGAAUAGUUGAGAUUCCUUCACACCAAUGAAAACUUUUUGGUAAGGAGCGUUUUACUCUUUUAGUGGCUUGCUCGAUGCUAAUUUUAAUUCCUCGGGUCUGAUAGACUCCAGAUACAGAAUGGUCAUACCCCCCUUCCCCUCCCAACCCCAUAUACACACGCAAGUGUACGAGUCUACAUGCACAAGAUACCUACCAAUGUCAUGUCAUCAGGCACACGUCCUUCUAGUUUCAUGAGAGAAAUGGCGAAAAGCCGUGCCUUCUUUCCAUAUCCAUGUAAAGCUAACCAUGUAUCAACAUUCCAAGAAACUAAUAUAUCUCCUCAGACCUAAAUCAAUCUCCCACGCUUAGCAUACUCAUCAAUGAAGGCAAUGCAAACUAGAGUAUUAACCUUGCACAUACACUCACAAUGGGAUCAUACACUCAGCACUUCUUUUAUCAAACUAAGCAUACAAGAUCAGUACAGGCAGCUAGAAUACUAACAGAAGCGACAACAUCAAGGCUCGAACCAUCUUCCUACAUUCGAAUGCAUUAACUCAGAUGCCUCUACAAUCCUUUUUUCAGUAUAUGCAGAUAUCAUCUUUGUCCACGAGACCAGAUUUUCAGAAGGCAACCUAUCAAACAACAGCCAAGCCAUCUUGCACUGUGAAUUUUGAUGUUACAGAGUCAGCGUAUUGAACAUGAUAACUUUCUAUUCAUCUUAUUUUCCUCAUAUUUGUUCUCAUUAUAGAAAGUCGGAAUGGGUUGAGUGCAGAAGCAAAUCAAGGAUGUUAAGUCAGUGAGUUCGGAGUGCAACUGCAUCCACUAUUACUUCACAAGUUAGUAGCAACAGGUGCGUAUUUAAUAUUGAAUGUGUGUAUUUUUCAAAACAAUUGAGCUAUAUACAUAGAGCUCAAGAUACACUAACAUCUACUCCCCCAUGCAAUAUGCGGGUAAUUAGUUGUAUUAAUCUGAACACGAAUCUUCCUCAACUCUCACAAGCGUGGGUAUUUGGCCACGAUCAACAAAAUCUAUCUUGUUCAAUCUAACACAACCAAGCACUUUCUCUGGCAACUCCUCUGGCUUCUGUGCCUGUGGAAUGUAGUGAAUACCCAAUGAGCAUACACCAUUAUAAUGCCAAAAGUAAGCCAACCAUUCUCAAAACUAAUCAGCAUCAUUUUUUGUUUCUGAAAAAUAAGGGGAAAAUAAGAAACCUGAAUUGUUAGACCAAAAUCAACUAUUCCAUGUUGUAAACGUUCUCUAAAAGCAUCAAGCCCCUUUCUAGCUAUGUAGCUGAAGCGAUGAAUAUCAAGAUCAACUUCAAAGUAAUUUGGGCCCUGCAAUAAGAAGACACCAUGCUCUUUCAGAAUACUGUGGCACUUGAAAACAGCAAAGAUGUUGCUAAACUGACUAUAAACUAAAGUCAUAGUACUGAAGUAAAAAUCAUUUAGAGUGUCACCUGAUAAAAGUUGUGUUGAGGACGGGAAAGCACAGGCUUUUCAUUGUAAGCAUUCAAAAGCUUUCUUUCUGUUGCACUUGAAACAAGCUCAUCUGGAUUAACCAACCCAACCGUAAUCUUCAAUCUCUCUCUGAAAGGAACAAUUGACUCCUUUGCAAAUCCUUUUACCUUUUCCAUGUCGUCUUCAAUGAAUCUCUACAACAAAAAUCAGUAGCACAUUUAAAUGCAAAACUAAUAGGGAACCAGGGCAUAAUGAAAGUUCUCCCAUUCCCCUAGUACCACUAUCAGGGCUAGAUCUGUAACCAAGCAUGACAAAUAACUGCCAAAAUUGGUUAAAACGUGAGAAAGUUUAUUUUGGUUUCGCUUGUUUACUAACUUAGGAAGAUUGCUACAUAUCAACCAGACAUUUGAGCAGUUUCUUCCACUCGCAUGAACACCUUUCCCAAACUUCGAGUAAAGUAGAAGGGGAAAAGGAAAACCGAAAGGAGAAGAAAAGGUGUUGUUUUUGCUUCAGAAAGAUGACAUAAAUUACCUUGAUGAAGUCUUGAAACUGGGGAGAGAUGUCCUCCUCAAAACUUUCAGAAAGUUUGAAAUAUAUAACAAGGCUCAAGCCUUCCCCAUCAGCAUCACCAAGGAACAUUGGAGCAGGAUAAGUAGGCAACUGACAAAGAAAAACAACUUUAUUACUAAUUAGAACAGGAUGUUUUAUCUAAUAAAAACUCCUUUGCUUAGUUGGGAGAGACUGCUGUAAUACCUGAAUAUUAACAAUUAGUAAUGGAGGUAUUUUUCCAUCUCCUUUUAUAGAAGGAAGCUCAAUGUGCUGUGCGAUGUGAUUGAUCUUUCUAGGGCAAACAAAUAAGUCGACCCCAAUUGGAAUAUAAGGACACACAUUAGGAGCAGGGCUUUUCCUCUUAUCUCUGCAGAUUAAAUGAAAAAUGUAAAGAAACAUGUGUAAAAUCCACUGCAAAAUCUCAACAACAGUAAUUAAUUGACAAAGAGAAAGGUAAGUUAAGAGCGCACUUGAAAUAACUAUCACCACGGAGCUUAAAGUUUGAGGGCUCAAUCUUUGACCAACUUCCUGCAAUGAGCUUUUCUUCUGUGCAACAAGGAAUUACGUGCCCAGCCCUGGGGCGGACAAGAUACUUUCUUGAAGAACCUACAAGAAUACCAUUAUAUUUAAAAUACUGUUAACUAGCUUUCUCAAUUAGCUUUUCGACUUCUCUUUUUACACACUCCAGAACAAGAAAUCUAACAUGAAGGUAAAUGCAUCAUGAUCUCGAGAAGGUUUAGCUGGUGAUUAGAUUUUAAAAAAAUAAGGGGAAUAAAAAUGUCAUGGAACAAAUUCGUAUAAUGGAAUUCUCAAAUUGGAGUCAGUUUAUGCUGAAAGAAUAAUAUACACAAAUGGAAAGUGGAGGAAGUACUCACAAAAUUCGUUCUUUUCUUCUCCAUCAACAGACGUCCUCUUCAGAGAAAGCCUUAUAAUAGUUGAUUUCUUUACUUGAGAAUGUGGGCCUGAAUUUGAUGCAUUAAUUGUUUUGUCAUUGAAACUCAAUGAACUAACCAGCUUCGGUAAGACAGACUUGAACACCUUCUCCUGAGUUUUCUCCUGCAGUUUAUCCUUUUUUACACCUUUAAAACUUGCAUAGGCACGAUCCAAAUUCUUCUUCUUUUUGGUUCCAAGGUCUUCACCCUUCCCUAGCGAUGGAAUAUAGUCUUGAGCACUUACAACUGCAAGUCCUUUUGGAUCCUGAACUACAUCUUUGCUCAAAACCUUCUCUGUUUUACUGCCAUCUAUCUUGAGAUAUUUCUCAUGGUAUUCUUUGUACUUGAGUUUGCUAUCCAUAAAGCAUGAUGAAGUUUCAUACUGAAGUACUUGUCCACUUGAAAUGUUGGGGAAAAUAUCUACAAGAAGCGAGAAGGAAUAGAACGAAUAAGUAAUAACUUUGUCACUUGGUUCAUUAAACUUAAGAAAGAAACUUUCUAACAUAUAGUUUGCCAAUUAAACAUUAAUGUCGUAACAUUGUCAUAGAUUCCUGUCAGCUUCUGAUCUUCUGGAAAUGAUAUAGAUUCCAUCUGCUAAAGAGCAUAUGAUCCGUUAUGAACCAAUAGUGUCUCACUCCAAAAUAGUUCUGAUGGAAUUUCCGCAAAAGAUAAGAGAAGCGCCCCCCCCCCCCCCCCAAAAAAAAAAAAGAAACAAAAAGAAAGGGAUAAGAACUGCCAAAAACAUAGGGUAAUGAAUAAGGUGGUAUUCUUCUUUUUCUUUUCCUAAGAAUGAUGGCCUUCUUAAUAGAAAGAAGACGUCAUCAAUUAUAAGUAUCACUUAAAACACAUUCAAGAACAGCAAAACAAAGUACGAAAUUGACAUCAAAACACAACUAAAUAUGCCCAAAAUCAAUGAUAUUACCCCCAUGAACACUACUGAAGUCAUCAUCUGAGUCGGACUCCAAAAUGCUGUGCGUGUCAAACCAUGCUUCUUCUUGACAAAGAACUGUAAGCAAGUAAAUAUCUCAUCAUUUUCAAGCUUAAGGUUCAAAACUUUUUCAUUAUCAAAAGCUUAAUCACACAAACUCCAGUUGCUAAUACGAUGCUUUCAAAAGAGAAUAUCCCUUUUCCUCAUUGCGAACGAAGAAAGGCAUCAGAAUUAACACAACCACUAAUCUAUCAAAGGAAAAAAAGGAUGUCAAAAUGCAAACUUUUAGCAGGAUAUACUCUUUUGAUACCAGUGUCCUAACCGAAUGAGACAUAUGCUGCCCAACAACAAAAUAGCAACUCCAGACGUCGAAAAGUACUUAUUUUGUCAGAUCAAAUCGGAAUAUCAUUUUAAUGGAGUAUACUAAGGUGACAUUUCACUUGUCUAGGAUAUUUCCUUCAAAAGAAGAUCAAGUACUUGUCACUUUAAGGAUUUAAUCCGGUAGGUUUCUCAUCACAUAUGAUAUCAAGAGAUAAUAAGGUUCAAAAUGAAAAAAAGAGAGUAUACCAUUAGCAUCUAUUUGACUAUGUUGCCACUGCAACUGAGUAAGAUGGAAUGUGGAACUAGAGACCUCAGAUCUUCCGGAGGUUGUAGUUGUACGAACAAACUCACUAACAGCAAUAUCUGUCACCCGUGCAUCGCUAUUUCUUUUCCUGGUUCCUACUAGACCUGAGUUUGAAUUCUUUCUAUGACGACGAUGGUAUUUCUUCCUUACCCUGAUUGUGCUUGCUGGAGUUGAUACACAACCACCCAUUAUUAUGACUCAGCUCACAAAUCUCACUGCGAAUUGCUGCUGUACCAUGCGAAGAUGCAAAUUCCAAGUUGAACACAAGAAAUUAAGUAAGUAUACCUGGCACGAGAAUAAGAGGAACUGCUACCGUUAAUCUCAAUAAAAGCUCACAAAUUUGUUCAUCACACGUUAACAGGACUUGCAAAGAAGUAUUCAGAAAAGCCACAUAUAUAAAUUGAUAUUGAUUUGGUGGCUCUCAAAUCUUAUAUACUAGAAUGAAACUCAAAAAGAUGGGACAAAAGCAGCUUUUAACAGGGCUUAAAAGCAGUGAACCUUAUAAGACACAUUUAAGAAUAAGGAAUCACCAAGAAUAUUACUGACAUAAAAAGCAAACAAGAUGCACAAAGAUGGCUAAGUACAAAGAAACUAUGAAACAAACUUUAAUAAUUUCAUGUGAUUGCAGAUUUAAGCAAAAAAGAUAAAAUUGGAGACAUAACUGAAAAGGUGAACAUAAAGUAGCAGGAUCAAAUAUGUGAUAACUAAUAAGCUGCUUUUCCAUUUCAUUUUUUUAUUUUUUUUCUUGUCCUGACUUUAUGAAUCGUUGAUGAUGAAAAAGGAUGGAAUGAACAUGACCUUGUUUUCACUUUCAGAGGCUUAAUUAGACAAAAGAUGUCAGAUUAUUAUAGACAUAAGAAAAAGGGAAAAAGGAGAACGAAGAAAAUGGGUCCACAUUAAGAUCAUAUAAGAAGCAAACAAACAAAAGAAUAACAACAAAAUUGUUGUUAGUAUAACAGAAAAAAGGAAUAAAAAUAACAAUGCAAAUGCGUAGGAAAGCAGAAAGGGCCAAAAUAUGAAGAAUGAAAACAACUAAAAUAAUAUUGGAAACAAAGAUCAGAACUAAAAACUCACAAUACAACAAGCUACUAAUCAACAGGUCAGGAAAUACCUAGGAAGGAGGAUGAAAACGUUAUUAAACAAAAUUAGAGCCUCGUUCUUUGAGCAAUAAAAUAAACAAUGAACCACGAAUUUUCAAAAGAACCCAUCAUUAAACCCUUCAAAAAUUAUGACAAAAAAACAAUUACUAUAUCUCAAUCUCAAACUAAUUAUCUUUAUCUGGACCUAUCUAAGCAUGGACGGAGCUAAGGGGCGGAAGGGGCCGGGAAAAUUACACUAUAUAGAUAAACAACUUUUUUUCUUAUAUACUAUUAAAUGUUAAAUCUCUGGCUUCUAUUUUCCUUUUUUUGUUUUUUGAAUCUCUUGGUGAAAAUUUCACCUCCACCAUUGUGUUUAAGUACAGAAAAAAAGAUUACAAAAGAAUGCAGAAAAAUGUAAAAGAAGCAAGAAAAUAGCAAGGCUAAGUAUGAUCCGAAAAAUGGAUACCUUACAUAAAAAUGCUGACCUGCUCACCACCAGCAACAUUUAAGUAUUACGUGAAAAAAUUAUAAUGUGGGGUACCUUUUUUUUUUUUUUUGUAUAGAAUGAAGAAAAGAUGAUUAACAACGAAGAGAUGUGAAUGUGGGUCUCCCUCUCCUGUAAAUGAAGAAGAAGAAAAGCAAAAUUCAAGAACCAGAGGGAGAGAGAGGGAGAAAGAGCUAGCGUUUGGGUCCGACGUGUCGGAUCCAAGCUCUUUUCCUAAAACUUCUCCUUCUUCAAGCAGCUGUUCUAUUUUUCUGGGUGUAUUUUUCCUGUUUAUAUUUGUAU
RNAcentral lists this long non-coding RNA (7896 nucleotides) under Nicotiana tabacum (common tobacco). Its description in RNAcentral is "long non-coding RNA (NTAB_LNC004397)". The record is from RNAcentral. Lineage: Eukaryota; Viridiplantae; Streptophyta; Magnoliopsida; Solanales; Solanaceae.